Molecule: ribosomal RNA, 247 nt
Filed under: uncultured Actinomycetes bacterium
Lineage: Bacteria; Bacillati; Actinomycetota; Actinomycetes
Description: uncultured actinobacterium partial 16S ribosomal RNA
Rfam family: Bacterial small subunit ribosomal RNA
Source: RNAcentral
GACGAACGCUGGCGGCGUGCUUAACACAUGCAAGUCGAGCGGUAAGGCCCUUUCGGGGGUACACGAGCGGCGAACGGGUGAGUAACACGUGGGUGACCUGCCUUUAGCUCUGGGAUAAGCCUGGGAAACUGGGUCUAAUACCGGAUAUGACUCCGCGGUGCAUGCUGUGGGGUGGAAAGCCUUGUGCGGCUGAGGAUGGGCCCGCGGCCUAUCAGCUUGUUGGCGGGGUAAUGGCCCACCAAGGCUG